Molecule: ribosomal RNA, 253 nt
Filed under: uncultured bacterium
Lineage: Bacteria
Description: partial 16S ribosomal RNA
Rfam family: Bacterial small subunit ribosomal RNA
Source: RNAcentral
UACGUAGGGUGCAAGCGUUAAUCGGAAUUACUGGGCGUAAAGCGUACGCAGGCGGCUAUGUAAGACAGGUGUGAAAUCCCCGGGCCUAACCUGGGAACUGCAUUUGUGACUGCAUAGCUAGAGUCCGUCAGAGGGGGGUGGAAUUCCACGUGUAGCAGUGAAAUGCGUAGAGAUGUGGAGGAACACCGAUGGCGAAGGCAGCCCCCUGGGAUGAGACUGACGCUCAUGUACGAAGGCGUGGGGAGCAAACAGG